RNAcentral lists this long non-coding RNA (384 nucleotides) under Coturnix japonica (Japanese quail). RNAcentral describes it as "lncRNA (ENSCJPG00005017074.1)". The record is from RNAcentral. Lineage: Eukaryota; Metazoa; Chordata; Aves; Galliformes; Phasianidae.
AUGGCAAUGUUGGCUCGAGCAUCGGUUCACUGCUGCAGGACGAAACACAGGGCCUGCUGCAACUGCUGCACCGGAAAGAAGAGCCGAAAUGAGUCACUUGUGAAUCACCGCUUGUUUCCCGUCCUGAGCUCAUCUACAAUCUCAUGGCGAUCAAACGGCCUUUUACAACGUGUUAAUGCAUGGCUAUGCUGCCCCAGCAUCCAGCAGAGCCCCCCUCAUUUGCAGGAGGCCAGGACAGUCUCUCCCAGCGAAUCAGCAGUGCUUUUCAGGUGCAGGAAUGGAAGAAGGCACAAAAAGCUCAUUGUCAGUUUAAGCAAAUCCAUCCAGCAGGUCUUCACAAAAAGAAGAAAAAAAGAAGGCAUGAGGAUGGAGAAUAAGGUGUGA